RNAcentral lists this ribosomal RNA (464 nucleotides) under uncultured Longilinea sp. RNAcentral's name for it is "bacterial SSU rRNA". It matches the Rfam family "Bacterial small subunit ribosomal RNA", at positions 920 to 1378 of the family's 1533-position model. Lineage: Bacteria; Bacillati; Chloroflexota; Anaerolineae; Anaerolineales; Anaerolineaceae. The record is from RNAcentral.
CCCCGCACAAGCAGCGGAGCGUGUGGUUUAAUUCGAUGCUACACGAAGAACCUUACCAGGGUUUGACAUGCAAGUGGUGGGAAGCCGAAAGGUGACCGACCCUUCGGGGAGCUUGCACAGGUGCUGCAUGGCUGUCGUCAGCUCGCGUCGUGAGAUGUUGGGUUAAGUCCCGCAACGAGCGCAACCCCUACGUUUAGUUGCUAACGCGUGAAGGCGAGCACUCUAGACGAACUGCCGUUGACAAAACGGAGGAAGGUGGGAUGACGUCAAAUCAUCAUGCCCCUUAUGUUCUGGGCUACACACGUGCUACAAUGGCCGGUACAGACGGACGCAAAGCCGCGAGGUGGAGCAAAUCCUAAAAAGCCGGUCUCAGUUCGGAUUGCAGGCUGCAAUUCGCCUGCAUGAAGUCGGAAUCGCUAGUAAUCGCAGGUCAGCAUACUGCGGUGAAUACGUUCCCGGGCCUU